This 405-nucleotide long non-coding RNA is filed under the name Coturnix japonica (Japanese quail). Its description in RNAcentral is "lncRNA (ENSCJPG00005000159.1)". Lineage: Eukaryota; Metazoa; Chordata; Aves; Galliformes; Phasianidae. The record is from RNAcentral.
CUAACCUUGGAUUCAUCCAAAGUCUCUAAAAGGAGUUAUUUAAGUGGAGGUGGAGAAUCUGCUAUUCACUAAAACACCAGCACGAGCAUCCUCAUGGCAUUUUAACAAGAAAUAGCUAUGGAGGCAUUUUCUGUUAAUAUUUCAAUGUACUAUAAGGGCUCCUCUCCCUGUACUCAGCAGAGCAGCUCCGCUGGGUGACAACCGGAAGGUGGGCUGCGAUAAGCGCGGUGCUGCUGAGCCUCGCAGCGGCAGCAGCCUCUAAGCCGGAGCUGCAUGGAGCAACUGCUUGGAUGGGCUGUGGUGGCCGUGCGACUGGAAACAUCAUUAUCAUAAUGAAUAGGCACAGAUCUUGAGUGGGCUGACAGCGCUGGAUUUACAAACCUGUGCUAAAGCAUGCUGGCUGGA